This 468-nucleotide ribosomal RNA is filed under the name uncultured bacterium. RNAcentral describes it as "partial 16S ribosomal RNA". It matches the Rfam family "Bacterial small subunit ribosomal RNA", at positions 28 to 507 of the family's 1533-position model. The record is from RNAcentral.
GACGAACGCUGGCGGCGUGCUUAACACAUGCAAGUCGAACGGAAAGGCCCUGCUUUUGUGGGGUGCUCGAGUGGCGAACGGGUGAGUAACACGUGAGUAACCUGCCCUUGACUUUGGGAUAACUUCAGGAAACUGGGGCUAAUACCGGAUAGGAGCUCCUGCUGCAUGGUGGGGGUUGGAAAGUUUCGGCGGUUGGGGAUGGACUCGCGGCUUAUCAGCUUGUUGGUGGGGUAGUGGCUUACCAAGGCUUUGACGGGUAGCCGGCCUGAGAGGGUGACCGGCCAAAUUGGGACGGGGAUACGGCCAAGACUCCUACGGGAGGCAGCAGUGGGGAAUAUUGCACAAUGGGCGGAAGCCUGAUGCAGCAACGCCGCGUGCGGGAUGACGGCCUUCGGGUUGUAAACCGCUUUCGCCUGUGCCGAAGCGUGAGUGACGGUAAUGGGUAAAGAAGCACCGGCUAACUACGUG